This 300-nucleotide small nuclear RNA is filed under the name Chinchilla lanigera (long-tailed chinchilla). RNAcentral's name for it is "7SK RNA (ENSCLAG00000021804.1)". It matches the Rfam family "7SK RNA". From Rfam's summary of the family: 7SK was discovered as an abundant small nuclear RNA in the mid-70s but a possible function has only recently been suggested. Two independent studies have found that 7SK RNA binds the CDK9/cyclin T complex (known as elongation factor P-TEFb). P-TEFb activates transcription by phosphorylating the C-terminal domain of RNA polymerase II. Lineage: Eukaryota; Metazoa; Chordata; Mammalia; Rodentia; Chinchillidae. The record is from Rfam by way of RNAcentral.
GGAUGUGAGGGCCAUCUGGCUGUGUCAUCUGUCACCCUACUGAUUACCAAGAUUUAUUUGGGUGAUUUGGCUGGCUGAAGGGAAUCCCCCUCCUCCCUCACUGUUCCACGUAUGUCCUUUCAAAGCUGAACCCUCAGUCCAAGAAGAUGACCACCCCAGAUGGAGGAGGACAAUUUCCUUUGUCAGGGUACACAAGAAGAGGCACUCCCUUCCAAAUAAGCUCUCAAGAGAAAAAAUUCUCCUAUUAUGCACAUUACAUAUAUUAUGUAUGUUAUACAUAUAUGUGUAUGUACAUGUAUG